RNAcentral lists this ribosomal RNA (243 nucleotides) under Radulomyces sp. RNAcentral describes it as "partial large subunit ribosomal RNA". The record is from RNAcentral. Lineage: Eukaryota; Fungi; Basidiomycota; Agaricomycetes; Agaricales; Radulomycetaceae.
AAACGCUUGAAGUCAGUCGCGUCUGCUGGGAUUCAGCCUUGCUUCUGCUUGGUGCACUUCCUAGUUGGACGGGUCAACAUCGAUUUCGACCGUCGGAUAAAGGUUUGAGGAAUGUGGCAUCUCCGGGUGUGUUAUAGCCUCUUAUCACAUACGUCGGCUGGGAUCGAGGAACUCAGCGUGCCAUUAUGGUCGGGGUUCGCCCACGUAACACGCUUAGGAUGUUGGCAUAAUGGCUUUAAGCGA